Molecule: non-coding RNA, 71 nt
Organism: Candidatus Sungbacteria bacterium GWC2_49_10
Lineage: Bacteria; Candidatus Sungiibacteriota
Source: Rfam
UCCGGGGUCGGCUAACGGUAGGCCGCAUGACUCUGAAUCAUGCAAUCUUGGUUCGAUUCCAAGCCCCGGAG